This 255-nucleotide long non-coding RNA is filed under the name Elaeis guineensis (African oil palm). RNAcentral's name for it is "long non-coding RNA (EGUI_LNC062428)". The record is from RNAcentral. Lineage: Eukaryota; Viridiplantae; Streptophyta; Magnoliopsida; Arecales; Arecaceae.
CCCGUACAUAUUUUAAUGCCAUGCCUGGGUAUAAACCAAAAUAUGGGUUCAUAUGCACAAGAUUCUAUGGUGAUCUCAGGUCUAAGGAUCACUUGCAUAACUUCUACUUAGAGAACCAUCUUUGACAUGCAAGUAAGGCUUCCAUAAGAUGUUCUCUUUCAUUGAGUCAAUUCAGUGGACUCAUUUUUCAAAUCAGCACCCACAUCCUUGUAUUAGUAUCCCACACAAGUGGCUAGUGAGAUCUGCCAUCCUCUU